ACCUUCUUAAAAGUCAAUGUCAAAAUUGUCACUCUUCUCUUGUGUCAAAUCCAUGUGAAGCACAGACCUAUUGAUGUGAAGGCGGUGUGUAAGUGUGUAGUGUGUACCAAAGAAACCAAAGUGUGUAAUCUGUAUAAAUUAUUAAAAUAAGUGAUCAAGUGUUUGAAAGUGAAUACUUAUACAAUAACCAAUAACUAUUUAUUUGACGAAGAUUUAAUAAUAAAUAUGGGUGACUUUACUCCGGUAACACAUGUACUUUUUGACAUGGACGGACUUAUACUUAAUACUGAGGACUUAUACACAGUAGCGUUUCAGAAUAUUGUGUCAAAGUUUGGUAAAAAUUAUACCUACGAACUAAAAAUAAGCCUGAUGGGAUCACAAAUGCAUGAAACUGCUGACAUGAUCAUUGAAAACUUAGACCUUCCAAUGACUCGGGAUGAAUUGAUUGAUGCAAGUAAAAAGGAAUUUGCUGCUUUGUUUCCAGAUACUGAGGUUUUACCAGGUGUUAAAAGGUUGAUUCAGCAUCUACAUAACAACAAUAUCCCUAUUGGAUUGGCCACAAGUUCAAGUAAAGAAAGCUAUGAACUGAAAACCAACAAGCACCACCAGCAACUGUUCUCACUGUUUCCCUACAAAACAUUUGGCUCAUCUGAUCCAGAAGUUAAGAAAGGCAAACCAUACCCCGACAUCUUUCUUGUAGCAGCAUCAAGGUUCCCUGAUAAGCCAGCUCCAGAGCAGUGCUUAGUUUUUGAGGAUGCUGUUAAUGGCGUCAAGGCAGCCCGAGCAGCAGGAAUGCAAGUUGUAAUGGUGCCAGAUGUAAAGCUUGACAGAAGUUAUACCAAAGAAGCUACCCUUGUAUUAAACAGCAUGGAAGAAUUCAAGCCAGAACUCUUUGGCUUACCACCUUUUACAAAUUAAUACUAUGUGAGCUGUAGACAUUUGAUAAUUUAUGCUUAAAUACUUACUUUUGAUAAGUGAAAAACACUUACGGCCCAGCCACGACAUUGGUCUAAGCGCGGCAGCGGCGAGCGGCAGCCAUACGUGCGAAUGAAAAGUCCCAUCGCUGUGUCUCGCUUCAAUGUAUGGCCGCCGCUCGCCGCUGUCGCGCUUAGACCAAUGUCGUGGCUGAGCCGUUAGUCUUUAUUUCUGCAUUUUGAUUUAAUUCAUGGAUUGGUAAUAGUUAUUUGUUCAACUGUACAUACCAAUAUUGAUACCCAACCAACCAAUCAAAAGGUUCCAAUAUAGGUUCAAAAUGUCGCCCACGAAACACGUAGAUAUAUAUCUCUAUCGCUCUUGCGUAUUGGCGCGACAGAGCCAGACUACCUUUCGCGCCGUUUCGUUUUCGUUUGGCGUCGCAGAAAUGCCAUUCGGCUAUGGCACCUGAAGAUUAUAUCACUAAAAUAUAGCCGAAGUUCGGCAGAGCAUAAUUAUGUUAUUGCGUACCUGACAAAUCCCGACUGGUUUUGUUAAAGUACCCUCAUAGAGCUUGACAAAAAAAUUGGUUGUCUGUAAAGUCGGUUUACGGACGGUAGUUUAACGUGAUAACUGACGCGCGCAGCGCGCUGCGCAUCCACAACUUUCUACAAAAACGUCUGUAUCUUCUAAACUACACAAGGUAUAGU
Molecule: unclassified non-coding RNA, 1622 nt
Filed under: Leguminivora glycinivorella
Lineage: Eukaryota; Metazoa; Arthropoda; Insecta; Lepidoptera; Tortricidae
Description: pseudouridine-5'-phosphatase-like, transcript variant X4
Source: RNAcentral